Long non-coding RNA from Globicephala melas (long-finned pilot whale), 373 nucleotides. RefSeq lists it as uncharacterized. The record is from RefSeq and is a predicted model, not a curated record. Lineage: Eukaryota; Metazoa; Chordata; Mammalia; Artiodactyla; Delphinidae.
UGUGGCCUCGCCCGUUGCGGAGCACAGGCUGCGGACGCACAGGCUCAGUGGCCAUGGCUCACGAGCCCAGCUGCUCCGCGGCAUGUGGGAUCUUCCCGGACCGGGGCAUGAACCCGUGUCCCCUGCAUCAGCAGGCGGACUCUCAACCACUGCGCCACCAGGGAAGGCCUAGAAGAAAGGAUUUAAGGCGGCUUAUAAAUAUGGGCAAGACCCAUCACUCCUACACAUGUGACUGUUCAAGCAUUUUGAUGAUGGUACACUUUAAAGUUGAACGCCAAGACUUCUUUCUGUAUGAUUAGUGUGUGUCUGCUUCUGGGGACUUCAGAAAAACUUUGGAGGCAGAGAGCUCACCAAACUUCAAAUCUGUGGGUAA